UCGGUACCCAGUUUGAUCCUGGCUCAGAUUGAACGCUGGCGGCAGGCACACACAUGCAAGUCGAGCGGGGAAAGGUAGCUUGCUACAUUUCCUAGCGGCGGACGGGUGAGUAAUGCUUAGGAAUCUGCCUAUUAGUGGGGGACAACAUUCCGAAAGGAAUGCUAAUACCGCAUACGCCCUACGGGGGAAAGCAGGGGAUCUUCGGACCUUGCGCUAAUAGAUGAGCCUAAGUCAGAUUAGCUAGUUGGUGGGGUAAAGGCCUACCAAGGCGACGAUCUGUAGCGGGUCUGAGAGGAUGAUCCGCCACACUGGGACUGAGACACGGCCCAGACUCCUACGGGAGGCAGCAGUGGGGAAUAUUGGACAAUGGGCGAAAGCCUGAUCCAGCCAUGCCGCGUGUGUGAAGAAGGCCUUUUGGUUGUAAAGCACUUUAAGCGAGGAGGAGGCUACCGAGAUUAAUACUCUAGGAUAGUGGACGUUACUCGCAGAAUAAGCACCGGCUAACUCUGUGCCAGCAGCCGCGGUAAUACAGAGGGUGCGAGCGUUAAUCGGAUUUACUGGGCGUAAAGCGUGCGUAGGCGGCUUCUUAAGUCGGAUGUGAAAUCCCUGAGCUUAACUUAGGAAUUGCAUUCGAUACUGGGAAGCUAGAGUAUGGGAGAGGAUGGUAGAAUUCCAGGUGUAGCGGUGAAAUGCGUAGAGA
Molecule: ribosomal RNA, 700 nt
Filed under: uncultured Acinetobacter sp.
Lineage: Bacteria; Pseudomonadati; Pseudomonadota; Gammaproteobacteria; Moraxellales; Moraxellaceae
Description: bacterial SSU rRNA
Rfam family: Bacterial small subunit ribosomal RNA
Source: RNAcentral